GACGGAGGAUGCAAGCGUUAUCCGGAAUGAUUGGGCGUAAAGCGUCCGCAGGUGGCAGUUCAAGUCUGCUGUCAAAGACCGGGGCUUAACUUCGGAAAGGCAGUGGAAACUGAACAGCUAGAGUAUGGUAGGGGCAGAGGGAAUUCCUGGUGUAGCGGUGAAAUGCGUAGAGAUCAGGAAGAACAUCGGUGGCGAAGGCGCUCUGCUGGACCAUAACUGACGCUGAGACGCGAAAGCUAGGGGAGCGAACAGG
RNAcentral lists this ribosomal RNA (253 nucleotides) under uncultured bacterium. RNAcentral describes it as "partial 16S ribosomal RNA". It matches the Rfam family "Bacterial small subunit ribosomal RNA", at positions 524 to 776 of the family's 1533-position model. The record is from RNAcentral.